UAAGGGAUAUUGCACAAUGGGGGAAACCCUGAUGCAGCAAUGCCGCGUGAGGGAAGACGGUCUUCGGAUUGUAAACCUAAGUUGUCAGGGACGAAACAAGACGGUACCUGAAGAGAAAGCUCCGGCUAACUACGUGCCAGCAGCCGCGGUAAUACGUAGGGAGCGAGCGUUGUCCGGAAUUACUGGGUGUAAAGGGUGCGUAGGCGGGUUUGCAAGUCAGACGUGAAAUACCGGGGCUCAACUCCGGGGCUGCGUUUGAAACUGUAGAUCUUGAGUGAAGUAGAGGUAGGCGGAAUUCCCAGUGUAGCGGUGAAAUGCGUAGAUAUUGGGAGGAACACCAGUGGCGAAGGCGGCCUACUGGGCUUUAACUGACGCUGAGGCACGAAAGCGUGGGGAGCAAACAGG
This 405-nucleotide ribosomal RNA is filed under the name uncultured bacterium. Its description in RNAcentral is "bacterial SSU rRNA". It matches the Rfam family "Bacterial small subunit ribosomal RNA", at positions 355 to 776 of the family's 1533-position model. The record is from RNAcentral. RNAcentral also lists the same sequence under 1 other name.